CCUACGGGGGGCAGCAGUGGGGAAUAUUGGACAAUGGGCGAAAGCCUGAUCCAGCCAUGCCGCGUGUGUGAAGAAGGCCUUCGGGUUGUAAAGCACUUUCAGUGGGGAAGAAAGCCUUGGGUCUAAUACCCUCGAGGAAGGACAUCACCCACAGAAGAAGCACCGGCUAACUCCGUGCCAGCAGCCGCGGUAAUACGGAGGGUGCGAGCGUUAAUCGGAAUUACUGGGCGUAAAGCGCGCGUAGGCGGUCUGAUAAGCCGGUUGUGAAAGCCCCGGGCUCAACCUGGGAACGGCAUCCGGAACUGUCAGGCUAGAGUGCAGGAGAGGAAGGUAGAAUUCCCGGUGUAGCGGUGAAAUGCGUAGAGAUCGGGAGGAAUACCAGUGGCGAAGGCGGCCUUCUGGACUGACACUGACGCUGAGGUGCGAAAGCGUGGGUAGCAAACAGGAUUAGAUACCCCUGUAGUC
RNAcentral lists this ribosomal RNA (465 nucleotides) under Vreelandella stevensii. RNAcentral's name for it is "partial 16S ribosomal RNA". It matches the Rfam family "Bacterial small subunit ribosomal RNA", at positions 338 to 795 of the family's 1533-position model. Lineage: Bacteria; Pseudomonadati; Pseudomonadota; Gammaproteobacteria; Oceanospirillales; Halomonadaceae. The record is from RNAcentral.